GACGUAGGGCGCGAGCGUUGUCCGGAUUUAUUGGGCGUAAAGCGCACGUAGGCGGUUCGUUAAGUCGGAUGUGAAAGCCCUCGGCUCAACUGAGGAAGUGCACCCGAAACUGGCGAGCUUGAGUACGAAAGAGGAUCGCGGAAUUCCCGGUGUAGAGGUGAAAUUCGUAGAUAUCGGGAGGAACACCGGUGGCGAAGGCGGCGAUCUGGGUCGAUACUGACGCUGAGGUGCGAAAGCGUGGGGAGCAAACAGG
Molecule: ribosomal RNA, 253 nt
Filed under: uncultured bacterium
Lineage: Bacteria
Description: partial 16S ribosomal RNA
Rfam family: Bacterial small subunit ribosomal RNA
Source: RNAcentral